UGGUGGUUGAACCGAUCAAAGUCGUUCAAGGACUGGGCGAUGAAAUCUAUCCGGGCUAAUUUGCAUGCAUUCACGCAUAUUCAAAGAGGAAAAUGCAUCCAAAACAAAUUGUCGCCAGAGCUGAGGGAUGAACUGCUGCAGGAGCUGCAGAGGAGCACACGUCGUGAAGAUGUCAAAACUGAAGAGGAUUUAGUCAGCAUGACGCACACUGCGUUGGUGUUGAUGAGCACCGCGACAAAAAAACUUGAUUUGCAUCAUCUCAUGUCAUUUGAACGUUGCAAUAUUGAUUCUCCACUCGAAUUCAUCGAGGUUCUCAGGGUGGUCACAAUUUCUGCUCCAAACGUCCGGCAGCUGAUAGUAGCCUUUGAUGACCUCGCAGAUUGUUUGAACAAUGGUUUCAUCCGAAACACGUUCAUACAUCAUUAAAGCUCUCUGAAGGACCUGAGAAUCUUAAAGGUCGUUGGAUGCGAUGGCACUUCUGUGGAUAUUUCGCUGCUCUAUGAAAAACUUCCCAACUUGCUUGU
Molecule: long non-coding RNA, 524 nt
Organism: Cloeon dipterum
Lineage: Eukaryota; Metazoa; Arthropoda; Insecta; Ephemeroptera; Baetidae
Exons: 3
Source: RefSeq, a predicted model, not a curated record